ACGAGCUGGGAGCGCGAUCGC
This 21-nucleotide non-coding RNA is filed under the name Arabidopsis thaliana (thale cress). Lineage: Eukaryota; Viridiplantae; Streptophyta; Magnoliopsida; Brassicales; Brassicaceae. The record is from RNAcentral.